GACGAACGCUGGCGGCGUGCUUAACACAUGCAAGUCGAACGGAAAGGCCCUGCUUUUGUGGGGUGCUCGAGUGGCGAACGGGUGAGUAACACGUGAGUAACCUGCCCUUGACUUUGGGAUAACUUCAGGAAACUGGGGCUAAUACCGGAUAGGAGCUCCUGCUGCAUGGUGGGGGUUGGAAAGUUUCGGCGGUUGGGGAUGGACUCGCGGCUUAUCAGCUUGUUGGUGGGGUAGUGGCUUACCAAGGCUUUGACGGGUAGCCGGCCUGAGAGGGUGACCGGCCACAUUGGGACUGAGAUAAGGCCCAGACUCCUACGGGAGGCAGCAGUGGGGAAUAUUGCACAAUGGGCGGAAGCAUGAUGCAGCAACGCCGCGUGCGGGAUGACGGACUUCGGGUUGUAAACCGCUUUCGCCUGUGACGAAGCGUGAGUGACGGUAAUGGGUAAAGAAGCACCGGCUAACUACGUG
Molecule: ribosomal RNA, 468 nt
Filed under: uncultured bacterium
Lineage: Bacteria
Description: partial 16S ribosomal RNA
Rfam family: Bacterial small subunit ribosomal RNA
Source: RNAcentral